This 253-nucleotide ribosomal RNA is filed under the name uncultured bacterium. RNAcentral's name for it is "partial 16S ribosomal RNA". It matches the Rfam family "Bacterial small subunit ribosomal RNA", at positions 524 to 776 of the family's 1533-position model. The record is from RNAcentral.
UACGUAGGGGGCGAGCGUUGCCCGGAUUCACUGGGCGUAAAGCGCGUGUAGGCGGUCUGUUAAGUCGUAUGUGAAAUCUCCGGGCUCAACUCGGAAACUGCAUCCGAUACUGGCAGACUUGAGGAUGGUAGAGGUCGGUGGAAUACCAGGUGUACCGGUGAAAUGGGCAGAUAUCUGGUGGAACACCAGUGGCGAAGGCGGCCGACUGGGCCAAUCCUGACGCUGAGGAGCGAAAGCAUGGGGAGCGAACAGG